Rhopilema esculentum is the source of this 989-nucleotide non-coding RNA. Lineage: Eukaryota; Metazoa; Cnidaria; Scyphozoa; Rhizostomeae; Rhizostomatidae. The record is from RefSeq and is a predicted model, not a curated record.
GUGGAGAAUAUUUCCUAUAAAAGUGUGGCUACUUUUAAGAGGGAAAAUCAGAGUCCAAUAAAUAAUUGAGCCAAUAAUAGUUCGAAAAAAGGUGCCUUUUAUACACAACAAAAUACAAUAAUUGAAACUAUUUACUAUUAUGAUAAUAUAUAACCAUUCAAUAAACACUGCUAUCAAGUUCAUUGAAUUAAAAUGUUUUGCAGGUUUUGAUGGAGCUUAAUGAAAUCUUCCCUGCUGUUGAAAAUGCCAAGAAAGCAAUCCAUUUUAGGCCUGAUUGGGCAGAAGGUCAUCAGACAUUAGGAAGAGCCUUGUUAAACAUUGGGGAGCUUAAACUGGCUUUGAGGAGUUUCCUAACUGCGGAAUUUUUGAAACCGGAUGCUCCUGAAUUUUGGGCAGAUGAUGUUAAAUGGACUAUCAGCUUAAUAGAAGAAGAGCAGCAGACCAUGAAAAUGGACACAACAUAAAUAGAAGAGAAAUAUUAAAAUAUUUACAUUUACAAGUGCCAAAUAAACAUCCUUAUGCAUAAUGCUGUUGCAAGAAAGUAAUGUCCUCACAUUGAGGCUCAUCAAGCUCUUAAUUACUAAUUUUCACAUGCCCAUCAAACAACCCCCGAAAUCACUUCCUCUAUACAAAAAAUGUCAAUAAAUUAUAUGAUAUAUAUACUUCCGUGAAAUAGACACAAGAAAUGAUAAAAGACAAUCUAGUACCAAAAAACAGUUUUAGAGCAGCUAGAUAAAUCUAUUUUCAAAUCAUUACAUUUUUCAAGAAACCCAACAAAGCAUUUGCUACGCCAGCUUCUUUGAGCAACAAAUAACUUGGGUGAUAAUAAAAUAGGGUGUUGUUAUAAGGAGCCAUUCAGUAAACGACAUUGUGAUGUAAUUAAUCGCUGUAUACUCAUAAAUGUAGUUAAUAUUUUCUACUUUUUUAAUAUUUUAGGAGCUACUGUACAAAAUUUGAACAACAUUAUCUGCAAAUUGGUUUCUUUUGUA